UGGUCUCCGUCUCAAGGCCACCGGCUAGGCUCAGAAAAGCACGCCGCGCUCCCGGGUGCCAGGGCCCUCCAAAGACCGAGGCCUCCUGGCGCCCUCAACCCCGGGGCACAGUCCGCGCGCGGGGAGACCCCCGGCCCGCACUACCGCGGCAGAGCGCAACCCGGACGAGCGGGCGGACAGGAGGGAAAGGGCUGGGGGCGGCGGUCCCGGAACCAGGUGGAUGGCAACCCGGCUAACGGGGACUCGGGUCGCGGCACAGACCUCCCCGCUCCCCCCGUGGGCCGACCUUUCCUGCCCCCCGGGAGGCCGGGGCGGGACGCCGGGCUCCGGGCGGCAGAGGGCGGGGUGGAGGCUGGAGGGCGCGCCGCGGCCGAGUCUCCGCGCCCGGGCUCCCCCUAAGCGGCCCACGCGGGGGCUCCCACUUUGGGGGGCAGCGGCCUGGGCCGCGCAGGGCUCCGUGCAGACCGCGCGGCCGGCUGCGACGGGAGACGCCGGCCCCGGCCCGGCCCGGUACUCACGCUGGCUUCAUGGCAGCGGGCUCCGUGCUGCCCGGAGGCGCGCGCGGGACGCCGGGCUCGAUCUGGCGGGCUGGCGAGGGCGGCAGGCCGCAGGGACGGGCCACGGGAAGCGGGACUCCACGGCUCAGGCGCGGCGCUCCGAGAAGCCGGUCGACGCCGCCGCGAGCCCAGGUGAGCUCGCGCCCGGCGCAUUUCAAACGGGCCAAUCAGCGCCCGCCCGCGGGGAAGGGGCGGGGCCUCAGAGGAAGUGACUGCUCUGCCGGAAGUGGCGCUCGUCUCCUAGGCGACCGCGGGAGUGAGGCGCGAGUUGUCUGCGUCUCUGGGCUGCGCUCAGAUGUAAUGAAGUCCAUCCCCUUCCAUUUUCCCAUGAGGAAACUGAGGGCUUAUUUUACUACAGUACAAGAAGUCCAACGGAAGGGCCAGUCCAGCGUGCAUUCAGAGGUCAGCGGGGUUCCCGCACAGGAGUGUCCUAUUGUGCGGUGCCCUGCACAGCCAGACUCCGCGUCUGGCUUCCAUAUCACCACAUCAUGUUGGCGUCCUCUCCCCCCUUCACGUUUCCUGGGUUCUCCCUCCCUGGUUCCUCCAGCUCUAUUUUAUACAUACAUUCUCUUAUCAAAUUAUUUUCUCUUUUAUUACAUUCUUAACAAUGUUUGAUCCUGAGCAUUGCUAAAAAGAAAACCACUGGCCCAAGAUGAAGUCCCUUAUGCUAUGCCAGGUCACCAAACCGGGGCUUAAUAUCUUAAUGUCUUAAUGUCUUAAUAUCACCUAAGUGUAGUUUCUACCCCUCCCAUAAACGUACUCUGAACCGGUCAGUCAGGAACUUUCUGGUCCGCACCAAUGAGGUAAUCUGUCGCAGGGGCCCUCUCUGUCUCCCCUCUCCCCCUGCCCCCUACCAAAGGAAGAUGAGAUGACCUUCCAAAUAAGACCCCUGCCCUCCCCACUUAGGGAUGGUGACCUGGCCUGAAACAAUCCUGACUUUUCUUUUACCAGUAACUUCCUUACCCUACCCUCCUUCCUAUGGAAGCCUUACAUUUUGUAUGGCUCCUGGGAGCAUCUCUCUGCUUGCUAGAUGGGAUACUGCCCCAUUCAUGAAUCGCUUAAUAAAACCAACUUGAUCUUUUAGAUUCCUUGGGUGAAUUUUUAACAGCCUAUAGAGAUGAAUAAAGUUUGGUCCUCACUCUUGAGAAGCAAUGUCCAUCCACUCUUUUCUAAGAUGAACUAAUUCUAUCCCAUUUCAACAUUUGUCACUAACCUCAUGACUGUCAAAUCUGCAUCUACAUCUGUGCUCUCAUGGGACUCUAGUCCCAGCUCCUCAACCAGACACCAGUUAAAUGGACAAAAUUGAACAUCCUUGGCCCAUAUUAUGUGACAUAAAGAUGGUUUUUCCUAAUGCUUUUAUUGCUUUGUUUGUUGUUAGAGGACAGGUUGGGACCUGUAUUAUUUAGGAAUUAGGCGUGGCCAUUUGACUACUUCUUAGUUACCCUGCAAUCUGGCGUUGGCCUCAGUCUCUCCAUUAGAACUCUUCUCACUGAGACCACCACCUCCUUGAUGCUAAAUCUAAUUGACCCUUCCAUGCCCUUCUCUUGGCCUCUCAACAGCACCGAAAAUAUUUCUCAUUCCUCUCUUACUAUGUCUUCAUUUUCCUCUCCAAGCUCUCUAAGCGCCUCUCUUUCGCGGAACUCAUUUGUGAGUUCCUUUUUUGUGUGUGCGUAAAUGUCGUAGCUUAGGGUUUUGAACUGGUCUCCACUUAGUGAGGACUCUCCUCAGGCACUCCCAACCACUCCUGCGGCUUCACACACCAAUCACAUUUGUUCUUCUGAGCUCCAGACAUUCUCUGCUUGGGUGCCCCACAGGCACCUCAUACCUAAGGCGCCCUAAUCUCUUACCCCGAACCUGCUCCCCUUCAGUGGAUGGGUGAUACACCAUCUACCCAGCCACCCAAGCCAGAGUCCCAGGUACCAUCUUGGACUUUUGCCUCUCCUUCUGUUCCAACAUCCACUCACCACAUCUUGACAGUUCUACCUACCAAAGAGCCUUCACACCUCUCAAACGCUGCUCUCUAUCCCCUUGGCUACUCCUAUCAUUUGUCUGGACGACUGCAACAGUACCCUAACAGGCUUUCCUGCUGCUGCCUUCCAAAUCUGCAGCGCGUUCACCUCUAAACCACAGAUCUAGUCAUGUCACUCCCCUGUGUAAUGCUCAUCACACUGCAGGAGCUCUCCAGGGCCAGACACUCUCACAGGGCCCUGAGGCUCUUCCUCUCCAAGCCCAUCCCUUAUCAUGACCCCCUGCACACACUCCCUCCGCUGACAAGCUCUCCUCCCUGCCUUAUUAUGCCUCCUUAUUCUCAGUUCUCAGCAGACCUUCUGCCAACGACUUGCCCCCGGAUGCUAGAUCCCUACUGUGUACCCCCAGUCCCCUCCACCCUGCCAGCAAGCUGUUGGUUUGCUCCAGAGCGCCCGUCCCGGUUUGCUCACUGUUCCUCUACUAGCUUAUCCCGACAGGCUCACUAGGUGGCACUGUUGCACCCUUAGUGCCGCGCCAUGGAGGCCCCCUGGUAACUGUCUGGGAGGAAUGGAUGAAUCCAUCCCAGUGGAGGACCCAGUUCCAUCAAGCCCCACCCCAGCUUUUCUUCAGGCCACUUUCUUUUUUCUCCCUCGCCUCUAUCUGUACUAAAGCUCUCUAGCUUGUUUGCUUUAAAAUAGAAAAUAGAAUAAAAACCGUCACCUCACACCAAACACGUUCUUCUCUCUCCCCUGCCUUCCUCUCCCCUCUCCCCCCCUCCCCUCCAACGGGCUCCCCAUAGGCAGUAAAAGAUUUGCAUUUUCCCCUAGAAUUAGAGAUCCAGACCAGGGGGAAGGGUAAGAGAUGGGGAGGGAGUAGAACCCGGAGGCUUCUACCAAAGUCAGGGUUAUGGAGGUACAUUCUAUAUCCAGCAAAAUCCACCCUUCUUGGUUGUACCGUGUGCAUGGAUUUAACAAACACACCAUCCUGUAACCACCGCCACCAUCACUGCAAAACUUUCUUUGUGCUGCAUUUUUGUAGUCUAUCACCUUCCUCUACCCCCAGCCCUCGGCAAGCGCUUUUCUCACUUCCUCCCUUAGAGUCUUAUCUGUUCCAGAAUGUCUCUUCUUUAGCUGGGCAAAAUGCUCUGGAGAUUCAACGGUUUUGAGUUGCACGUAUGGAUACCAUGUUUCCUUUUUACUGCUAAGUAGUAAAUCCCCUGUAGGAAUGCAUGACAGCUCAUCCAUCCGCUAGCCCCUUGGACGUUCAGGUCGUUUUCACCUUUAGACAAUUAUGAAUGAAACUGGUAUAAUUAUUUGCAUAAAGGUCUUUAUGCAGAUAGGGAUCUUCAUUUCCCUUGGGUGGGAUUGCUGGUCUGACGGUAAGUAUAACUUUCUAAGACACUGCCAAACUGGACUGGUGGGUCCUAUGCAAAUCACUGGAGAGAGGCUGACCCUACACGGAUGGAAACCAAUAUGAUUAACCCAAACACCCACACGAAGAGCUGUGGGAACCUUGUAACAGCCAGUGACUGGAAAGGGCUGAGGUCUAGCGUGUUUGAGGGAAGGUGGUAAAAAUGAGGACAGGAUGACUGUGAUACACCCAACACUCAAUGCGAGGAGCUGUCUCCCUGACCCUCCCUGCUGUUCACACUCAAGAGCUUAGGCUGCAUCAUCUCACAUCCACAGGCCAUGUGACUCUCCCCAGGCCAGUUGAGAAUGAAUGGAUGUUAAUGUUUUACAUACUCAAAAGACAAUAAAAUCAGCAAGCUGGGGGGGGGGGGGGUNNNNNNNNNNNNNNNNNNNNNNNNNNNNNNNNNNNNNNNNNNNNNNNNNNNNNNNNNNNNNNNNNNNNNNNNNNNNNNNNNNNNNNNNNNNNNNNNNNNNNNNNNNNNNNNNNNNNNNNNNNNNNNNNNNNNNNNNNNNNNNNNNNNNNNNNNNNNNNNNNNNNNNNNNNNNNNNNNNNNNNNNNNNNNNNNNNNNNNNNNNNNNNNNNNNNNNNNNNNNNNNNNNNNNNNNNNNNNNNNNNNNNNNNNNNNNNNNNNNNNNNNNNNNNNNNNNNNNNNNNNNNNNNNNNNNNNNNNNNNNNNNNNNNNNNNNNNNNNNNNNNNNNNNNNNNNNNNNNNNNNNNNNNNNNNNNNNNNNUUUUAAGUAAUAUGUACACCCAACAUGGGGCUUGAAACUGCCAUCCCGAGAUGGGUAGACACAUGCUCUACCAACUAAGCCAGCCAGAUACCCCAGUACCUGGGGAUUCUUCAUACUACUCAGUGUUUUUCCAAAUCUGAAAAAAAAAAAAAAGAAUGGUUGGACUAGUGUUUUCUUAAACUGCCUUAUAUUAAAAUUUUUUUUUCCACGUUUAUUUAUUUUUGGGACAGAGAGAGACAGAGCAUGAACGGGGGAGGGGCAGAGAGAGAGGGAGACACAGAAUCGGAAAUAGGCUCCAGGCUCUGAGCCAUCAGCCCAGAGCCUGACGCGGGGCUCGAACUCACGGACCGUGAGAUCGUGACCUGGCUGAAGUCAGACGCUCAACCGACUGCGCCACCCAGGCGCCCCUUAAACUGCCUUAUAUUAAAAAGCACUUGGGGGUCACCUGGGUGGUUCAGUUGGUUAGCUUCCAACUUCAGCUCAGGUUAUGAUCUCACAGUUCAUGAGUUUGAGCCCCGUGUCAGGCUCUGUGCUGACAGCUCAGAGCCUGGAACCUGCUUUGGAGUCUCUCUCUCUCUCUCUCUCUCUCUCUCUCUCUGCCCCUCCCCCACUCACACUGUCUCUUUCAAUAAAUAAACGUUAAAAAUUUUUUUUUAAUUACUUGGGGCUUUUGAUAAAAAUGUAAAACUCUAAGACUACUUUUCCCUCCCAAGGUAUGCUGCAUCUGUCCAUUUGGGCCUGACAAUGUGCAUUUUGCAUCAUCAAACACAUUUAAAAAUUUAUUUAUUUAUUUAUUCAUUUAUUUAUUUUGAGAGAGUGAGCGAGCAAGUGCAAAUGGGGAGGAGCAGAGAGAGAGAGAGAGAGAGAGAGAGAGAAUCCCAAGCAAGCUCCACCCUGUCAGGGUAGAGCCCAACUCAGGGCUGAAACUCAAGAACCAUGAGAUCAUGACAGGCAAAAUCAAGAGUCGGAGGCUUAGCCAACUGAUCCACCCAGGUGCCCCCAUCAUCAAACACAUUUUUGAAACGCUAGAUUAAAUUAUCUUUGAGGUCCGUUGUUCCAUGCUCUACAGGAGGCAUGAAUUAAGCCAAUUUUAGAAAUUUGUUGCCCAGAGUGAAGAGAAUGGGGGUAACGACUCUCUAUUUGCCUGAAAUAUAUUUAUUACAGAGUUGAAACAUUCAUACAAGUACCAAGAGCCCAUAGGAAAGCCCCUUGGACAAUCUCCUGGGAAGAACAUGCAGGAGAAAUCCCAGAAUUCUUUGAAAGCCAAGUGAUCCAUACAUUGUCUAGAGUUACACAUUUGAGGAAUAAGUGGCUUGAUUUCCAUCCUUCCGAUAGGACCAAGUGCCUACUGGUCUGGGGGCCUUUGCCCAUACACCAUCUGACCUGAAACACCUACCCCACCACACACUGGCAGGGCUGGCCCCUUCUGCCCACCAAGGCUCUCGUCAAACGCCAACUUCUCAGAAUGGCCAUCCAAUCUCACCUGCCCUAUCCCACCCAUCUCUAUAUCUUCACCAGGCUUCUCUUCUUUAUAGCACUUACCGUUAUCUGAAUUUAUCUAUCUUUCCCUACUGACAGUCACAAGAUUCACUCCAUGCAGGAGUGUUCAUUCCAUAUACACCAGGCACAAAAUAAACAUUCAUUGAAUGAUUUAGCAAUGUACACAUGUACAGGAAUCUCUUUCUUAAAUUUGUUAAGUUUGUUAAUUUAUUUUGAGAGAGAGAGAGACAGCGAGUGCACAAGCAGGGGAGGGGCAGAGAGAGAGAGAGAGAGAGAGAGAGAGAAUCCCAAGCAGGCUCCACACCAUAAGUGCAGAGCCCGAUGCAGGGCUUGAACUCACAAAUCAUGAAAUCAUGACCUGAGCCGAGAUCAAGAAUCAGACGCUCACCCAACUGCACUCCCCAGGCGCCCCAGGAAUCAAUUUCUUAUGAUGAACAAACAUGUUUACAGUGUGGUAGGUGAAACAUAACCAAAUCAAGUGGGAAACAGGCCUUUAUUAUAAUAAAGUUUAUUUUUUUUCCUCCCAUACAGUUUAAGAAAACCAGACAUCAGUGUAAGUUGGAGGAACAGCUGUGUUCAGAAAUGGGUCUUUGCCUUUUCAUCCACAAUGGAUUGUUGACCAGAAAAUCAGAGGCCGGCAUUCAACUAAUAUGUGAUAAAGAGUUGUUAUACAGUGUGAAUAGGUGUUUCAUAUAGUACCAUGGCCAAACAAAUUUGGGACACAGCAGAGCCAAAUGAAGGGUCUCUCCAACACAUCUGAUCACACUGAUCCACUGCCCCUUGCCUUCCUUAGAACUUCUCACGUGAGCUGAGUUCCACAACAAACACUUUAAGACGGCAGCAGGUCAAACAGGUCACUUUGUACUCAAAUGGUUUCCUAAAACCUCCCACUUCUCAUUCCAAUCGGUGACAGAUUCGUUGCUCUCUAGAAACCGAGCAAUGGAAAGCAAAGCUAUGAUGAGCGAAGGACAGUGCGGUUAGCUAAACGGCCUCAUUCGAGUACAUUCAAGUUUUAUCACCACCGUGGCAUCUGGGAAAUUUGGGGGGCAGUGUUUCUCAUGCAGGGGGAGGAAGAAGAGGGUCAUCCCAUUAGGAGUUUGUCACCCCCCACAAAAUCCUCUUUGAGAUCGUGUGGUGGCGAGCAUUGCUACCAAUGGGAGUAUGGCACAUUUCCAAGGUGUAUUGAGACAAUAAAAACCUGAGGGCCGCUACAUGAAAAGACACCUUCCCAGUGAGCUCUCCAGCUCACCCACUGCCAACCUUUUUGCCUUUCCUUUUUGACUUUGGCUUACGCAAACCCACAUUACACUUAAUAUCUAAUGGUAAUUAAUAUUUUUGAACCCACUGUCUGUAUCUAGAAGCUUCCAAAUCAGCCCAUUGCAAACCGUCAUCCAAUUUUAAUUUGUAACACUGUCCAAAUGUAUACAGUGGGACUGAGUUUGCCAAACGUAUAAAAACAUUAUGAAACACUGGUCUUCUUUUGUUGAUGUAACAUUUUCUUUCCCAUCAUUAAGGAUGGCGAAAAAGUCACAUCACCCAAAAUUAAAUAAUCUGAAGGUCCUUCAGAUUAAUCACCUAUAACUUUCAACUAUUUCUGAACUAAACAAACAUUUUCCUCUCCCUAAACAAAAGAGAUGUUAAAGAGCUUCAUGUCUUUGGCACUUGCUAGAAUAGGGUAUUUAAACUCUGUGCCUUUUUGCAGCAUAAAAUUGAAGUUAUAGCAAGGCAAAACGGGUGCCCACAGACCCUGCUGGAGUAAAAUUCCACUAGGAGUGUCAGAUUAUCGCCCCAAACCAAAUUUUGUCAUGCAGUGGGCAAUUAAUGUACCAAAAAUUUACCAGCCCAUAUAAUUUUAUCAGUCUACCUUUCCCCGGAGGAAGUAAAUAAACAGUAAAACUAAUGAAAUCAUAUUUCUUGACCACUCUCAGCCAAUAUAAAUUUUUACUUGUCCUCAGAGGGUUGGACGACGAGCUAUUCGUGAGGCCAUUCAAGUUUCUGGGCCAGUUACCACAGAGGCAGUAUUCUAAGUUUUGAGGGUGUUCCUGAGUCAGCAAAGAGGAUCCUGCUUUGUGAUGGACAGCCCCUCAAGUCAUUAGCAAGUGCAGAUCAGGGGUUGAUGGGCGUCUGCUACAGUUUUGCAUCAGCAUUUCUGAACUCUCUGAAAACAGCACGAAAUACUAAACUUUAACUCCUAAGGCAACAGAUGAGAAAAUGCUCAGUGUGCUACUCUUGUGCAGAGUAGACAGUAGGGGAUACAUCCUUAGGUGGUGGUUGCUGAAAAUUAGGUCAACUGCAACAAAGCUGAGAGGCCCAGUGCCUUCUGGAACUCAUGACGCCAGCAUUUUUCCCAUUUGGCCUGUGGCCCUUCUGCAUUAGGAUCACCUGGGGACUUCCUCAGAUUCAGGGCAAAUCUCCUCCAAAAGACCUACAUCUUAAACUACUAACACAGAAUCCCCUGAUUUGGCCUGGGAAUCCGCACUGGUCGCCAACUCACCAAAUGUGUCUGAUUCGCAGCAAAGCUUGAGGAUCACUGUAGUUGACCAACCCUUUACAAGGUCUUUGACAUCCUCUGCCCAGGAACACUAAACUUUGCAGCACCUUUGAAAUGCUGAAGCAAUAUUAAAUGGAUAGCAUCCCCAAAUAGAGCCAUGCCAUUGGUUUACACAGUGACAGGUGAGCACAGCCAACUGGAAUUAACUCAGCCGGCUCCCAUGCCUCACACAUUUGACCUGCACUGCAUAAUACUUUGCAGCAUCGAAUUGGCAACGAGAAAACAGAACAAAACAGAACACAGACACCCAGCCAUGUGGCCUUUAGAGAAAAUCCAAAUCCACGUGACAUGGGAAUUGGCACUUUAAGGCACAACAGACUUGUGGGAAAGAGGACUCUUCAUUCAUUCAUUCCCUUCACUAGGUGGGGAAAGGAAGAAGCCCCCUCCCCAAACCAGGUCUCUUCAUCCUGAAGUGUCUCCCCAGUCCCCAGGGUUCCCACAGACCCAGCUUCCUCUUACUCCACCCCCUCCACACCCCCCGCUGAUCUUUCUGGCUCAUUCUCCUCCCACCAUGGAGGUCUUGGCAGGAGCUGUGCCAUGUGGGACUCAACAAAUGAAGCAGGGCCCGUUUUCAAAGGGUAACACUACAAGAGUAGUAAAGCUUCAUCUGGCCACUUAAUAGGAAGGCUUCUAACUGCCUUAUUUUAAAUAAAUUUAAGACUUAGUGAACUAUUAAGGAUUCGCCUGAACAAGGACUUACUUGAACCCAUCUUCCCCUUUUAAAAUCACAAUUAUAGAAUAGGUGCACAUUGAGAGACAUUUCCCCAGUUAAAUACCUUAUUGACAUGAACGCACUCAAAAAUGCCAAGACAUCAACCACCGUGAAUAUUUUAGACCUUGGUAAACAGGUACCACUAGGCACUUAUGGUGCUUAGGAGGUUGUAGCUUAAUGUUGACAUCUGGCAUGAAAAGCUUAUGGUCUGAAUCAUGUUUCUUUUUUAUGUAAUUCUGGCUCAGGAAUCCGAUACAGAGCAGCUGAGAAAUAAAUUAUGUUGCUGAGGCUGAAGAUGAGGCACAGAAGUACAGCUCCAGCUAUCUGAGGGAAAGACAGGGGCCUGGAGUUGGCCAGGAGCCAUUCCCUCCUCAGAGUCUUGUCCAGAACAAUGGCUUCCAUCUGCAGGUGUGUGGCCAGGAUCACACACACGUGGAACAGCUGGUGACUGUGACCUACGGCAAACACAGAAAAGGCUGCCAGGAUCAGCAACAAAAAACGAACAGGGGCCCCUGGGUGGUGCAGUUGGUUAAGCUUCCAACUCUUGAUUUCGGCUCAGGUCAUGAUCUCACAGUUUGUGAGUUCGAGCUCCGCAUUGGGUUCUGCGCUGACCGGGCAGAGCCUGCUGGGGAUUCUCUCUCUCUCCCUCUCUCUCUGCCCCUCCUGUAUCUCUCUCUCUCUCUCUCUCUCUCAAAAAAACUUUUUUUUUUUUUAAAGGAAUAGACUGCUGAUACUGUUCCAUGGUGUAUAGGCUAAAAACAUUAUGCUGGGUAAAGAAGCUAGACACAAGAGACCACAUAUUGUCAGAAUCCAUUUAUAGCAAAUGUCCAGGAAAGGCAAAUCCACAGAUGCAAAGUAGGUUAGUGGUUUCUUCAGGCAGGGGGUAGGAAUCAGGAUUAAUAAGACAUGGGCAGGAGGGAUCUUACCGGGGUGAUGAUCAUGUUCUAAAACUCAUUUGCGAUGAUGGGGAUUCAAUUUGGGGGGUUAACUAAAAAUAUCACUGAAUUGUAUCCUUGAAAUCAGGGAACCAUGUGAUACGUAAAAUAUGCCUCAAUGCAUUUAUUUGUUUUUUAAAUGUUUGUUCAUUUAUUUUUGAGACAGCAUAAGCAGGGGAAGGGCAGAGAGAGAGGAAGACAGAGAAUCCCAAGCAGGUUCCGCACUGACAGUACUGAGCCCUACAAGGGGCCUGAAAUCGCGAACCAUGAAAUCGUGACCUGAGCCGAAACCAAGAUUCUGAUGCUCAACCAACUGAGCCACCCAGGCGCCCCAGCAUUUUUUUUUAAUGCAGUGUGAGAAAAAUUAAAAGGCCCAAGUACAUUUUUUCAACUUGUCCACCAGUCCUGUUUUUCACAUGAAGUCUGGCAUCAUGUUCUCCCAAAGUUCACCUCUUCAGAACCAGCACUCAUCAGCUCCAAUUCUGAGGCCAACGGAGAAGCCAACCAGACUUUCUAUUGGCCAGUUACAAGGUAGCCCUCUCCUUACUGCUGGUUAAUCCCAGACAUGACCAGGGGCUCUUCCUCCCUGAUGACCUUCAGGACCUUGGCUCACCAGCUAUGUGUCCACAGAGGGGAGGACCCAGCAGAGGGGGGUGGUAGUGGGCGGGAACAUGCUUAGUUGGUAGUGAUGAGAAAAAGAGUCCAUUGCCCAGGGCCAAGGACUGUUUGCAGGACAACGCUCAGAAAUCAGAAGAUGAGAAGAGAACAAAGACAGCAUGUGUCAUGGGCUGAGCUGUGUCUCCCUUCCCCCAAUUCCAAAUGUUGAAGUCCCAAUGCCCAGUACCUCAGAAUGUGACCGUAUCUGGAGACAGGAUCUUGUAUUAAGUUUAUAUAUUUAUUUUGAGAGAGAGAGAGGGAGAGAGGCAGAGGGAGGGGCAGAGAGAGAGAGAGAGAGAGAGAGGGAGAGAGAGAAAAUCCCAAGCAGGCUCCGUGCCGUUGACAGCAGUGAGCCUGAUGUGGGGCUUGAACUCACGAACCACAAGAUCAUGACCUGACACUCAACUGACCGAGCCACCCAGGUGCCCUCUGACUGGUACCCUUCUAAGAGGAGGAAGUUAGGACCUGGGCAUGGGAAAGACCACGUGAGGAGAGACAGAGAAGAUGGCCAUCUGCAAGCCAGGGAGAGAGCCAGGAGAGAGACGGACCCAGCCCACACCUUGGUCUCAGCCUCCAAAAUUAUGAGAAAAUGCAUUUCUGUUGUUUAAGCCACUCAGUCUGUGAUUCUUUGUUAUGGCAGUCCUAGCAAACAGAUACAACACAAGAGUUAAGGAUUCUCUUUCAUUAAAAGAGAGAGAGAGAGAGAGAGAGAGAGAGAGAUUCCCGCAAUCUGGCUGGACAGGAAUAUGGAGGAACUUCCUACAGGCAGGGCCAGCACUAACCAGUUAGCACUCUGCCCCACAUCGGAGAGGGAAUCCCACAUCUGGCAGACCCCAUUAUUGUGGGACGGAUCAUUUUCCAAACCCGUUGUUAAUGACCUGUCAUUAACAGUUGUCUGGCAAAUGUCUGGCCAAUGGAGGGGUGUCUCUGGGUUCUGUUCCCCUAGGCCCAAGAGAGUGGGAUUAAAAGUGAAUAAAUGAAAUGUUAUUAAGACACCAGGGAGUUGGUAAAACAAGGCCAGGGCUAUUUUUUCCUGCAGUCCCCGGACUUCAUUUACAACCACCGAUACUUUGUCUAGGUGGGGCUCGGGAGGUGGACAGGGCUCCUGUAGACAAGUUCCAACUCCGUGGCCCUCUCGUCUCCCCCGCCCCCUCACCUUUUUGUUUGAAAUUUACCCUCCAAGCAUUUUGGUCCUUGGCAUCCCUUCUGGUAGGACAGAAUUGAAGUAAAGGAGAUGAAGCUCUUUUCAGAGCCAAUAAAGCAAAUCUGGCCACAUGUCUUAGGUGGGAGGAGAUGAAAAAAAUCACUGGAGAAAUGGGCUUGGGGAGAACCAGGGUCCCUGCCCACCAUUUAAGGAUAAGGGCUGACGCUUGAACCCCCAUGACAGCGUAUCUAGGGAGCUCUCAUCUCAAGGAGUCCUCAGCGUCACCAGAAGUGGCCCAAGGUUCCCUCCUCCGGCCAGUGCCCGACCCACUUCCCUAGACAAAGAGGGAAGGCGCUCUCCCAGCAGGUAGAAGUCCUCUGGCUCUGACAGCUCCUCUCCAGCACACCACUUCUCUAACGGCGGUGAGCUCAGGUUCCCCUGGAGAGUCACCCAGCCUCUGAGUGAGACGCCCCGAGCUUCUGGUUCGGGAUGUCCGGGGGCCCGAGAAUCUGAGAAUUCCCAGAUAAUGCUAAAUGCUGAUGCUCCAGGGGCCACACCUGAGAACCAAGACUCCUGGCCCCACUGCAGCCGCCUGAACGAGACGAAGACACGCUCCCCUCCUUGGCACAGCCCCUGCCAUCUGUCAGCCUCGGGGCCAUCUGCACUCGGUCUGUCUUGUUCCUCUCCAGGGCUGCCCUCGAUGUCCAUUUAAUCCUGGGAUUUCAUCUUCGGGGUAAUAACGGGACUCCCUAGGCCCCGUAGCCCAUAGGAAUGCCUUAGAAUCCUAGAUGCACCUGUUCUCCAUCCUCCCAUCCUACCUGGCCAUUUGCUGGCUACGUACAUCCUGGCCUCCAUUGCCUUACAGUUUCACUUCCCUUGGCCUGCUCCUAGAGAAGCCCCUGGGGAAUUGCGUCUCUCCAUGCCCCUGCUUCCCCUUCGAGACCGCAUGCACUGGCGUCCUGGUGGCAGGGAGACAACGGGGCCGCCGCGCACUCACCGAUGUAGUCGAAGCGUCCAGGCGCCAGGCGCUCUGGCAGGUGUGCGGAGUAGAAGAAAGAGGCCAGGAGGGUCAUGGCCGUGUGCUUCUGGUGGUACAAGGCGGCUUCGUUCUGCGCACCAUCCCCCGAAAGCAGGAACAGCUGCAGGGAUUCAGAGGAACAUCAGAUCUCGAGAGGAGGCCCCCUUCCUUCUCAUCACCCGAAGCCAUCUCUGCACACGCGUGCGGGCACCACGGGCCAAGGCCCUCACCUCCUUGGUCUGUGGUUUGGAAGGGGAACUCUCAGGGACCGUGGGAGCAGAAUUCCUAUUCCUUUUUUUUUUUUUAUAUUAAAAAAAUUUUUUUUAGGUUUAUUUAGAGAGAGAGAGAGAGAGAGAGAGAGAGUGGAGGGGAGGGGAGGGGCAGAGAGAAAGGGAGAAAGAGAAUCCCAAGCAGGCUCCGCACUGUUAGCACAGAGCCCAGUGUGGGGCUCAAAGUCACAAACUGCGAGAUUAUGACCUGGGCCGAAAUCAAGAGUCGGACACUUAACCGACUGUGGCACCUAGGUGCCCCUUAAUAAUUUUUUUAAUGUUUAUUCAUUUUUGUGUGAGAGAGAGACAGAGCGCAAAUAGGGGAGGGGCAGAGAGAGAAAGAAACCCAGAAUCCGAAGCAGGCUCCCAGGCUCUGAGCUGUCAGCACAGAGCCCGAACCGGGGCUCGAACUCACAAACCAUGAGAUUAUGACCUGAGCCGAAGUCAGACGCUUAACCAACUGAGCCACCCAGGCUCCCGCAUAAUUCUGACUGUGAUCUUUUGAGAGACCCAAGGCAACUGUAUUUUAUUUUAUUUUUUCUCCCCUCAGGGCACCUGUAUUUUAAUCCUCCAAAUGUCCAUAAAGCCUUUUGGGUUGUUUAAUUACGAAAGAAAAGGAAAGAAAUCAAGGAAGGAAAAGAAAGGAAAAGAAAAAUCCUACUAGAUCUAUUUGCUACUCUUUUGUCUGGGGGUAAAAUGUAAGUAUAGUAAAAAGUGGUCUAGUCACCCUUGAACUCACUUCUCACCAGCGCAUCCCCUGAUUUCAAGCUCCUAAUUAAGGCUUUAAAGCCUAGAAAUCCCUGGAAGGCCUUUCUGAGUCAUCAAAACGUGUUAAUUACAGCCAUUAUCCUGUUUGAGAGCUAAGUAUAGUUUUUGUAUUACCGUUAUAAUGACAGCAGCCAUCACUUACCUAGGGCACUAAGCCAGCCUUUUAUUUGCACAAUUUCAUCACAGCCUCAACAACUACCAAAACAUCCCACUUUGCCGAUGAGGAAGCUGGGCCAGAGGGUGACUUGCAAACCACUAAUCAGCAGUGAAGUCAGGCUGUGGAUCCAGGCAGGCUGAUUCCAGAACCGAUGCUCUGCUCCUCAACCUCCCCGCUCGCGAUCAGACCUUCCGGCCCCUCCUCCGCCCCCUGUCUGACUCAGCUGGUGCUCCUAAUAAUGCAGACCUGUGCUAUGCGAUUUGAUGGCAUGUGGGAACGGCUUGCUCUCUGCUCUGGUUUCCUAUGGGUGUUCUGUGUCGUCGAGGAAGGAGUCAGGGGCAUGGGCCGCACCCACGCCUCUGGGUCUCCCCCCCAUCCCAGGCUCACCCAGGUGGUGCCGGCUCUGGCCCUCCCCUUCGGUCCCUGACUUGCGCAUCAAACUUCAAGCUGCCCCUGGGAGGGAAACGCCACUCACUAGGUGCAGGCCCUCUGCCGGGCAUUGCUGAGCCCUCUGAUCUGCUGAUUUGAUUAAGCCCCUCUACCCCUCUGUGCGGGAGAGGAUGUCAGCCUCAUUAACAGAUGAAGAAACUGAGGCUCAGAGACUGAGAUCAGGUGCAUUCCCUAAGGUCACAGAGCCAGUGCGCGCUGGGAUUUGAACUCAGGUCCAUCCGAUUUGUGAGUGCCUCUCCCCUUUCUUGUGUCCCUCUUACACCCCCUUCCUUCAUGUUCUCCAAUUCCCAUCUAUCUUACGACCUUCAUUUAUCCUUUUUCCUUCGCUGCUAGUAUGUUAGUUGAUGACAAUACAGAAUAAAUGCAUUUAGUGGCCACUUGCCACGAGCCAGCGAUCUCAUGUAAUCUUCCCCCCAGUCUGACGAAAGCAGGUGUUAUUACCAUGCCCAUUUUACAGAGGGGGACAUCAAGGCACAGAGAUGGUACCUAACUGGCCCAAAGUCUUACAGCGAGUACGUAUUAGAGAUUUGCCUCCAGAGCCUGCUUUCCUGGUCACCGCACUAAACCCCAGGCUGCCUCCCCUUCCCAGCCCUCCACGACUGCGUCUGAGCCCCCAGUCAGUGCUGGCCAUUGAUGCAUCCCCUGUGGUUUGCCAGGGCCUUCAUUCUCCUGCUGUGUCCUAACUACUAAGGGAGCCCCUGGGUCGUGCCUCCCACGUCCGUCCCUCGCAGUGACCACCAUGGCGCUCCGAGCCCCAGGAGCUCAGGAAGCAGUAGAUUCCCUGGUGUUGCCAACAGGCAGAGAAAAGAUGGAGCCGGGCCCUUACCCUGUAGAAGAUGGGAAGGGAGUCCCAGGUGUAGGGAUAAGCAAAGGCAAGGACGCGAAGCAUCUUGCAGAGCCCGGGCUUCUGGAUUUCAAGAAACCUAAAGCGGGGAAGGAAAGGGGGAAGACGUUGGACCGAAAACGGUUUCCGUGAAUGACACACGUGCACGCACAUGACAAAUUACAAAUUACUGAGGGCAGGUCGUCCGCAGAAGUCUUUUUGUACAACCUCCUCCGGAGGCCAGUGGCUCCCCCCCGACGGGCCUCUUCCGCUUCUUCCAGCCCGACGGGAGUGACUCUGCCUUCGAGGAGAAAGGGUCUCAGGGGAAACCAUCUCCUGGGGCCGCAUCGUGAGGGGCAACGGUGUCCAAAGAAGCCAGGGAGGAGGUAUUGGGCUGGGAAGGCCCUCUGGGAGGCAAGUUGUCGAACUGCCAAAGGGCCUUUUAGAAGUCCAGCAGCAACCGGGUGGGCAGACGUGGGGGGUGUGGGGGGCCCCCAGCCCGGGCUCCGGGGGCGAGCACGGCUGUGAAGGAGCCGAUGUCGGCUGCCCCGGGUGCGUGCUGUGCCAAAGCCCUUGGUUCGGUGAAGUCUUUAAUGACUUUGAGAGACUUCCGGAAUACUUGGUACCACACGCAGGGACGCUGGCCUGGGGAAAACGAGUAAACGUGGCCUUUC
Molecule: long non-coding RNA, 16324 nt
Filed under: Lynx pardinus (Iberian lynx)
Lineage: Eukaryota; Metazoa; Chordata; Mammalia; Carnivora; Felidae
Source: RNAcentral